This 513-nucleotide ribosomal RNA is filed under the name uncultured bacterium. Its description in RNAcentral is "partial 16S ribosomal RNA". It matches the Rfam family "Bacterial small subunit ribosomal RNA", at positions 28 to 523 of the family's 1533-position model. The record is from RNAcentral.
GACGAACGCUGGCGGCAUGCCAAAUACAUGCAAGUCGAGCGAACAGAUGAAGUGCUUGCACUCCUGACGUUAGCGGCGAACGGGUGAGUAACACGUAAGGAAUCUACCUAUAAGCGGGGGAUAACAUUCGGAAACGGGUGCUAAUACCGCAUAAUAUCUUCUUCCGCAUGGAAGAAGAUUGAAAGACGGCUCUGCUGUCACUUAUAGAUGACCUUGCGGUGCAUUAGUUAGUUGGUGGGGUAAUGGCCUACCAAGACGAUGAUGCAUAGCCGACCUGAGAGGGUGAUCGGCCACAUUGGGACUGAGACACGGCCCAAACUCCUACGGGAGGCAGCAGUAGGGAAUCUUCCGCAAUGGGCGAAAGCCUGACGGAGCAAUGCCGCGUGAGUGAAGAAGGCCUUCGGGUCGUAAAACUCUGUUAUAAGAGAAGAACAAAUUGUAGAGUAACUGCUACAGUCUUGACGGUAUCUUAUCAGAAAGCCACGGCUAACUACGUGCCAGCCGCCGCAGUAA